RNAcentral lists this transfer RNA (30 nucleotides) under Crocus sativus. Its description in RNAcentral is "partial tRNA-Leu". The record is from RNAcentral. Lineage: Eukaryota; Viridiplantae; Streptophyta; Magnoliopsida; Asparagales; Iridaceae.
GAAAAUCCGUCGACUUUAGAAAUCGUGAGG